GCACAAGCGGUGGAGCAUGUGGUUAAUUCGAUGCAACGCGAAGAACCUUACCUGGGCUUGACAUCCCGAGAAUCCCCUGGAAACAGGGGAGUGCCUUUCGGGGAACUCGGAGACAGGUGCUGCAUGGCUGUCGUCAGCUCGUGCCGUGAGAUGUUGGGUUAAGUCCCGCAACGAGCGCAACCCUUGUCUUUAAUUGCCAGCAUUCAGUUGGGCACUUUAAAGAGACUGCCGGUGUUAAACCGGAGGAAGGUGGGAUGACGUCAAGUCCUCAUGGCCUUUAUGCCCAGGGCUACACACGUGCUACAAUGGGUGGUACAAAGAGAUGCAAUCUCGCAAGAGCAAGCAAACCUCAAAAAGCCAUCCUCAGUUCGGAUUGGAGUCUGCAACUCGACUCCAUGAAGUCGGAAUCGCUAGUAAUCGCGGAUCAGCACGCCGCGGUGAAUACGUUCCCGGGCCUU
This 458-nucleotide ribosomal RNA is filed under the name uncultured Syntrophus sp. Its description in RNAcentral is "bacterial SSU rRNA". It matches the Rfam family "Bacterial small subunit ribosomal RNA", at positions 923 to 1382 of the family's 1533-position model. Lineage: Bacteria; Pseudomonadati; Thermodesulfobacteriota; Syntrophia; Syntrophales; Syntrophaceae. The record is from RNAcentral.